Molecule: ribosomal RNA, 445 nt
Filed under: uncultured bacterium
Lineage: Bacteria
Description: partial 16S ribosomal RNA
Rfam family: Bacterial small subunit ribosomal RNA
Source: RNAcentral
GUGAGGAAUAUUGCGCAAUGGAGGCAACUCUGACGCAGCCAUGCCGCGUGCAGGAAGAAGGCGCUACGCGUUGUAAACUGCUUUUAACCGGGAAGAAACCCUAGGACGUGUCCUGGGUUGACGGUACCGGAGGAAUAAGCACCGGCUAACUUCGUGCCAGCAGCCGCGGUAAUACGAAGGGUGCAAGCGUUAUCCGGAUUCAUUGGGUUUAAAGGGUGCGUAGGCGGAGCGUUAAGUCAGUGGUGAAAUCCUGCAGCUUAACUGUAGACUUGCCAUUGAUACUGGCGCGCUUGAGUGCGCUUGAAGUGGGCGGAAUGUGCCGUGUAGCGGUGAAAUGCUUAGAUAUGGCACAGAACACCAAUUGCGAAGGCAGCUCACUAAGGCGAUACUGACGCUGAGGCACGAAAGCGUGGGGAUCGAACAGGAUUAGAAACCCGGGUAGUCC